This 468-nucleotide ribosomal RNA is filed under the name uncultured bacterium. Its description in RNAcentral is "partial 16S ribosomal RNA". It matches the Rfam family "Bacterial small subunit ribosomal RNA", at positions 28 to 507 of the family's 1533-position model. The record is from RNAcentral.
GACGAACGCUGGCGGCGUGCUUAACACAUGCAAGUCGAACGGAAAGGCCCUGCUUUUGUGGGGUGCUCGAGUGGCGAACGGGUGAGUAACACGUGAGUAACCCGCCCUUGACUUUGGGAUAACUUUAGGAAACUGGGGCUAAUACCGGAUAGGAGCUCCUGCUGCAUGGUGGGGGUUGGAAAGUGUCGGCGGUUGGGGAUGGACUCGCGGCUUAUCAGCUUGUUGGUGGGGUAGUGGCUUACCAAGGCUUUGACGGGUAGCCGGCCUGAGAGGGUGACCGGCGACAUUGGGACUGAGAUACGGACCAGACGCCUACGGGAGGCAGCAGUGGGGAAUAUUGCACAAUGGGCGGAAGCCUGAUGCAGCAGCGCCGCGUGCGGGAUGACGGCCUUCGGGUUGUAAACCGCUUUCGCCUGUGACGAAGCGUGAGUGACGGUAAUGGGUAAAGAAGCACCGGCUAACUACGUG